AGAUUUCUAAGCUCAAAUCUCUUAAAGGUACCAAACGUUUAUCAUCCCUUUCUAGCAACUUUUAAGGGUAUAUCUCACAUUUUCUUCAUGCUCGAUUGCAGGUUUUGAAUUAGGGUGAAACCAUUGAGUUACAUGGAUGCAAAUUAUCAUGCAGCUGCUUGAAAAAGCAGGAAGUCAUUACCAGAAAGAGUGGUUUUUUAUAUGGUUUGGUGACUUCUGCAUCUUAAUUGGGUGCUAUCCUACUGAGCUUUUCUACUCCUUUCUUUCUUUCUUUGUCUGACUUGUGUGUUCUUGACCUUGUAAGACCUUUUCUUGACCUUGUAAGACCUCAUGCCGUGUCUUUUCUUUUUAUUUUGUGUCGUUUUUCAAUUUUUACAGCAGAAUUUUCUGAUGUAGGAUUGGUUGUUCUCCUUCUCCGUUUCCACCCAACUCACUUUCUCCUUUCUUGUCUAUCCCUCCUGAGCUAUUUCGUAUAAAGUAUUCAUAAGCUAAUGCUAUGUAGUAUAUAUUCUUCUGGUAUGGCCAACCGUGUUAGACAGGCAGAAAGCCUGAUAUAUAUAGAAAUGUAUUGAAUUUUGAGGCCCAAGUUUCAUUGUUUUUAUUUUAUGUAUGUUUUUGGUCAGAGAAUUAAGUUGCAAG
This 639-nucleotide long non-coding RNA is filed under the name Olea europaea subsp. europaea. The record is from RNAcentral. Lineage: Eukaryota; Viridiplantae; Streptophyta; Magnoliopsida; Lamiales; Oleaceae.